This is a non-coding RNA of Caenorhabditis elegans, 21 nucleotides long. NCBI's taxonomy places the organism in Eukaryota, Metazoa, Nematoda, Chromadorea, Rhabditida, Rhabditidae. The record is from Ensembl.
UCUUUUUGAGAAAUUAACAGA